Labrus bergylta (ballan wrasse) is the source of this 737-nucleotide non-coding RNA. Lineage: Eukaryota; Metazoa; Chordata; Actinopteri; Labriformes; Labridae. The record is from RefSeq and is a predicted model, not a curated record.
AUAAAACAAAGAAAGCAGUUUGAAUUUGUAUCUAGAACAAGAAAGGUGAAAAAAACAAAACUUCCAAAUGCAGUAAUUCACAGAGUGACCACAGGAGGGCGCAGUUUCACCUUUAAACUCCAUCUUUACACAUUAGUAUCUCAAACUAACUUCGGAGCUUCAGUACAAAGUUUUCACUCAUCCCGUGUCUUCAUUUAUCUGCUUCUUAGACACUUUGGAGAACGACAGGGAGAGGAAGAGAGAAACUGGAGAAACUUUCUGCGACACUUCCGGUUGAAGCUUCCGGUAAUCACGCCCAGGUGUGUUCAGGUGUUCUCAGGUGUGUAUAUCAUUGUUUCGAGCAGGUAAGCGGUGCGGACCGCGGGCAGCCUGGCUGUGGAUCAAAGCGGUGGAAGAAGAAGGAGCCGGGGAAGGAGAGAUGAAGUCUAGAUACUGAGAACUCUGUCGACAUCUUCCAGGAGGAUCCCCCGUCGGUGGCCGUCUUCCUGCUCAGGUAGGAGACUCAAAGCUUUCUUAAUGUUGUUUUAUUAUGUUCCAGGUUUUAGGUCUUAUAGAUGUUUAGACUCAGGUAUUUUAAUCAUUUCAUCCUUUUUGGAGUGGAGGAUCAUCAGGUGUUUAAUGAAAUACUACAUUUUUAUAAUCCUUAUUUCAUUAAUCACCUGAUGUUCCUCCACUAUAACAAGGAUGUAAUGAUUAAAAUAACUGAGUCUAAACGUUUAUAAGACCUAAACCUGGAA